Molecule: long non-coding RNA, 2259 nt
Organism: Salvia splendens (bonfire salvia)
Lineage: Eukaryota; Viridiplantae; Streptophyta; Magnoliopsida; Lamiales; Lamiaceae
Exons: 2
Source: RefSeq, a predicted model, not a curated record
UAGAAACUUGCAUAUUAAUUAAAUUUGGAAAAAUUUAAUUAAUAGCACUUCUUUAUUAAACUUAAUUAUUUUUGUGACUUGAGAACGUCGUCUCCCUCUUUCUUUCCAUUUCCUUAGCGGCCGCCUGAGGCGUCGCGGGGCAAUGCCGGUCGGCCGCUUACGCCUAUAAUUCCUCCGUUGGCUCCUCGUAUUUUUCUCAACGAUAUCGAAUUAAAUCCUAAGAUUUAAUUGAGCACAUGAAUUAAUUAUCGAAGAUGUUUUCCCUUGCAAUAUUUAUUUCGGACUUGGGAUAAAUUAUUCAUCCUUCGAAAUAUUCCAAAAAAUUAACUAACUAAUUCUCAACAAUUAAAUUAUCGGCCCAAGGAUUAAUUACUUGACCCAAGAUAAUUGUUAUCUUAGUCCACCUUAUUUCACCAAUUUAUUUAGUGAGGCCAAAAGAAAAAUAGUCCAAAUUAAUAUAUCCCCAUCCUUAUUUCUCCAUUUAUGUAAUAAUGCCCAACUAAAAUUGGUGUUGUGUACCUUACUAAUUAUUCUACAAAAACAUAACAACUUGGAUCAUAACAAAUCAUUUUAUCUUACUUAACCAUUUGAUUUAAGCCCAGAAAUAAUUAAAUUUGAAAUCGAACCUCACAUUCACUAUGCACUGCAGCCCCAAUUUGUUUAUAAGUGCUCGAAUUUAUGUUUACAUAGUCCAAACUUCCAUUCAAUUAAUUUGUCUCAUCUCAAAACAAUUUGUAAACUUUGUGUAGUCCAACUUCUAACUUGAAGAAGGAAACGGACUCUCCCUAUCUCAAGUCAUCCCCAAAAGGUUAAUAUUGAUUUCACUAAACUUAGUGUGAUUCGAAAUAUUCCACUAGUCUAAUAUAUACACAUGUGAGACAAAUCAUUAUCGGGCCAAAGAAUUAACAUUUUAGAGCCCAAAACAAUAAUAAUCCCCAACCCAAAAUAAUUUGAAGGAGCCCAAGUCAAAAGUGAUUUAAGAAAAAGAUAAAACAUGAAAACAUGGAAGUAUUCUCCCAUUCCCUACGCAAGUCUACUCCCUUCCUUCACUUUUCACUUUAACCCAAUAAAUAUUAUAGUAGGAGUACUAAAUAAUUAAAUGAGAAAAUCAAAUACUCCCUUAACCCCCCUAUGCGUAUCUCUCUCUUCUCUCUCCCUCGCAUUUUUUUUCUUUUCUCCCCAAAACAGAACCCGCCGAUUUUCUCCGAUUCGCCGUGGUGCAAGAAUCGACGUUGCCGUCGACUCCGAUCUCUCUCUCUCUCUCGAUUUCCACCGCCUCACAUCACCGCUGCUCCACCGCCCCAGCCCCCUUCUCUCCUGAAUCUGCCGCCGCCGUCCCUUCUUUCUCUCCAGCUUCGCCGCCGCUCGCCAGCGCCGCCGCUCCGUCGGACUCCCGAAAGGUUGUGAAAUUAGUGACGUAUCGGAGUGGGGGCUGUCCUUGGUUGUCUCCGGGCUGCCGAAGAGCCGUCGCCGGAAAUCCGGCAGAUUCAUGUUCAAGAUAAGAUUCUCAAUUUAUGCUUACCCUGGUUGUAGGACUUAGUUGUCUAUUUUAUAAAUUUGGUGAAUUCUGGACAAUUGUGUGUCUUCUUGGAAGACUUAAUGGUGAAACAAGUAAUUCUUGGUGUUUAUUGUUAACAUUUGGGCAGAUUCUUCUUCCAACUACAUAUAUGCAUGCUUGUACAUAGAUGAAAGAAAAGAAAGGCUUGGUGUUUACCUUUUGAUGUGGCAGUUAAGUGUUGUUGGAUGGUAGUGUUUCACUCUACGAAUUGUGUGAAAUUCUCCUUCCUCAAACUCCUAUAUCCAUGUUGGCUUGGUGUGUGCAGACAACUUAGGAUUACUUAGGAUUUGAGGGUGAUGCGUGUGUGAGGGAAAGAAAAAUGAUUGUAUACAAUACAAAAAAGGUGGCAUUGAAAGUGACGUGUAACAAGUUGGUGUAGCAAGUUGCAUGGUAUUCUUAUCUCUAAUUAUUCUCUUUUGUCAGAAGGGAUAUGAUUUGUCUGCCCUCAUUAAAUGUGGCAUUUAAUGUUUUGAAAAAAAAAAUCAUCCUCAUGAUCGGCCCUCUCUCCCCUUUUUUAUAUAUAUAUUAUUUGUUUAAUUUGGUGCAGGAAAAAAAAUCCAAUUCCAGUUCGGAGCUGUUCUCGUUGAUGUACCCGAUUUUCUUUAGAACAAAAGAUGUAUUAAAUUAAAUUUUUGUUGGACUUUUAUUGGAUGUAUCGGACAUUAAGAUUUUGAUUAUGGGACUUUAUUUAUUUACUUAAA